UGGGGAAUUUUGGACAAUGGGGGAAACCCUGAUCCAGCCAUCCCGCGUGUGCGAUGAAGGCCUUCGGGUUGUAAAGCACUUUUGGCAGGAAAGAAACGUCGCGGGUUAAUACCCCGCGAAACUGACGGUACCUGCAGAAUAAGCACCGGCUAACUACGUGCCAGCAGCCGCGGUAAUACGUAGGGUGCAAGCGUUAAUCGGAAUUACUGGGCGUAAAGCGUGCGCAGGCGGUUCGGAAAGAAAGAUGUGAAAUCCCAGAGCUUAACUUUGGAACUGCAUUUUUAACUACCGGGCUAGAGUGUGUCAGAGGGAGGUGGAAUUCCGCGUGUAGCAGUGAAAUGCGUAGAUAUGCGGAGGGACACCGAUGGCGAAGGCAGCCUCCUGGGAUAACACUGACGCUCAUGCACGAAAGCGUGGGGAGCAAACAGGAUUAGAUACCCUGGUAGUCCACGCCCUAAACGAUGUCAACUAGCUGUUGGGGGCCUUCGGGGCCUUGGUAGCGCAGCUAACGCGUGAAGUUGACCGCCUGGGGAGUACGGUCGCAAGAUUAAAACUUAAAGGAAUUGACGGGGGUCAUAGCUGUUUCCCU
RNAcentral lists this ribosomal RNA (589 nucleotides) under uncultured bacterium. RNAcentral describes it as "partial 16S ribosomal RNA". It matches the Rfam family "Bacterial small subunit ribosomal RNA", at positions 355 to 1376 of the family's 1533-position model. The record is from RNAcentral.